RNAcentral lists this ribosomal RNA (467 nucleotides) under uncultured bacterium. RNAcentral describes it as "partial 16S ribosomal RNA". It matches the Rfam family "Bacterial small subunit ribosomal RNA", at positions 28 to 507 of the family's 1533-position model. The record is from RNAcentral.
GACGAACGCUGGCGGCGUGCUUAACACAUGCAAGUCGAGCGGAAAGGCUCCAGCUUGCUGGCGUACUCGAGUGGCGAACGGGUGAGUAACACGUGGGUAAUCUGCCCUGCACUCUGGGAUAAGCCUGGGAAACUGGGUCUAAUACUGGAUAUGACCUUUCUCCUUAUGGGGUUUGGUGGAAAGUUUUUCGGUGUAGGAUGAGCCCGCGGCCUAUCAGCUUGUUGGUGGGGUGAUGGCCUACCAAGGCGACGACGGGUAGCCGGCCUGAGAGGGUGAUCGGCCACAUUGGGACUGAGAUACGGCCCAGACUCCUACGGGAGGCAGCAGUGGGGAAUAUUGCACAAUGGGCGGAAGCCUGAUGCAGCGACGCCGCGUGAGGGAUGACGGCCUUCGGGUUGUAAACCUCUUUCAGCAGGGACGAAGCGUAAGUGACGGUACCUGCAGAAGAAGCACCGGCUAACUACGUG